GAAUUCACUAGUGAUUCUUGGUCAUUUAGAGGAAGUAAAAGUCGUAACAAGGUUUCCGUAGGUGGUUUGCCUGUCGGAUCCCCCCGCAGCGACUCUAAAGAACUGCGCCAGUCGGGCUCCCAUCUCGAAGCCUGGCGACGCCAUCAGUCUGGCUGGGAGCCCCCCUACGCGGGGGGCCACCAGCAGCUCCUUCGGGAGUCCACAGAUCAAACGAUGAGCGGCCGCUCCACUGCGGUUCAGAUAUGACCGGCCCCAGCCUGCAUCGGCUGGUGACUCCUCGUGGAACCUGCGGAAGGAUCAUU
RNAcentral lists this ribosomal RNA (302 nucleotides) under Lecidella carpathica. RNAcentral's name for it is "partial 18S ribosomal RNA". The record is from RNAcentral. Lineage: Eukaryota; Fungi; Ascomycota; Lecanoromycetes; Lecanorales; Lecanoraceae.